Scleropages formosus (Asian bonytongue) is the source of this 398-nucleotide long non-coding RNA. RefSeq lists it as uncharacterized. The record is from RefSeq and is a predicted model, not a curated record. The transcript is spliced from 8 exons. NCBI's taxonomy places the organism in Eukaryota, Metazoa, Chordata, Actinopteri, Osteoglossiformes, Osteoglossidae.
AAGCGACCACACGCGCAUACUUCCACCCUCAUUUCGCUCCGGUAUCUGCUUUGGCAGCCUCGACUGCGAUGGAUGCGACUGCAGACCAAGGCUGCCCAGUGAUGCUCUUGUUGGUCCUAAUAAAUUCUGAUAUUUCAUGAAAGGCUCAUCUGCAAGCACGCUGAUAGACUGUCCAUGGAUAAUGGAGAACCCACUCUUUUGAGUAGGUGUGGCUUAUCCACUUCAGGCUCAAGUGGAGUACAGAUGAAAUGUGAGCCCUGGGUGACAUGAAGAUUGCUGUACACUGAAUUCAUGUGGGGUGGAUCGAAUUGGGACAUCGGUGCAAAUGAGUGGUUUAUGGAACUGAUGGACUGGAGGCAUAUGUUCUGUAAAGUUGAUGAAUAAAAGCAUAUAUCAAC